RNA transcript from Oryzias latipes (Japanese medaka), 2579 nucleotides. It is a transcript of the gene named D-2-hydroxyglutarate dehydrogenase, with no coding region annotated. NCBI's taxonomy places the organism in Eukaryota, Metazoa, Chordata, Actinopteri, Beloniformes, Adrianichthyidae. The record is from RefSeq and is a predicted model, not a curated record.
UUAAUAGUUCCGGCUAUUGAUUCGAACGAAUAAGGUUCCGCCUUUAAAUUAUAAGGCUGUCCUUGAACUUUGCUACAAACGUCGUAACAUUACUUGACACAGACAGCAGAGGAAAUUCAAGAAAGAAAUGUGCACAGUCAAGUGAAUGUUUGUGCAACUUUCUCACACCUCAUUUGCGAUGGUGGGAAUUUUCCAGAGGUCCUUAAGGCUGAGGACACCCCUGACACAAUUGUCCUUCCACAACUCUACCUCACCCACAGACAUAUUGUCAUCCUUAGUCCUCCGGGGUCGAUUAUUUCCCAUCUGCAGCCCCUCUGUAUUUUUCUCCUUCCGUCGCACACUGCAUACUAGCAAUGAUGGGCCCAAGUCGCUGUCAGACACUCCACCACCGAGACGACCCUUCUGCAGGGUUACACAGGAGGAUUUGACCUUUUUUAGAACGCUUCUUCCUGGCAGAGCCAUCACUGACCCAGACCUGUUGGAAUCCAGUAAUGUCGACUGGCUCAAGUCUGUGAAAGGUUCCAGUGAAGUUUUGCUGAGACCUCAGACAACAGAGGAAGUGUCUCAAAUUCUGAGAUAUUGUAACAGUCGCAACCUGGCGGUGAACCCUCAAGGGGGUAAUACUGGCUUGGUUGGCGGGAGUGUUCCAGUUCACGAUGAGAUCGUCCUCUCCACCGCCCUAAUGAACAACAUACUCCGCUUUGAUGACGUCUCUGGUAUUUUAACGUGUCAGUCAGGUUGCAUCUUGGAGAAUUUGUCUCUCUACCUGGAGGAGAGGGGCCACAUCAUGCCUCUGGAUCUUGGUGCAAAAGGGAGCUGCCAGAUCGGAGGCAAUGUGGCGACUAACGCAGGUGGGCUGCGGCUGCUCCGUUACGGCUCCUUACACGGGACUGUACUCGGUCUGGAAGUGGUGCUGGCCAAUGGACAGGUGCUGGACUGCUUGUCCACGCUGCGGAAAGAUAACACGGGAUAUGACCUCAAACAGCUGUUCAUUGGGUCAGAGGGCACUUUGGGGGUGAUCACUGCAGUGUCCAUCCUUUGCCCACAAAAACCCAAAUCUGUUAAUGUGGUCUUCUUGGGCUGUGAGACCUUUGAGCAGCUGCUGAAGACAUUUCAGCUGAGCAGAAGCAUGCUGGGAGAAAUUCUGUCUGCCUUUGAGUUCUUGGACAGCGAAUGUUUGAAUCUGCUCAGAACACACCUGAAGCUACAGAAUCCCAUCUCUGAUUGUCCGUUUUACAUCGUCAUAGAAACUCAGGGAUCCGACUCGAACCACGAUGAGGAGAAACUCCACAACUUCCUGGAAGAAGCCAUGAAGUCUUCGUUAGUUGUGGAUGGGACCGUGGCCACAGAGGAGGCAAAAAUAAAGCUUUUCAGGCUUUGUGGUCGAUGCGCGAACGCAUCACAGAGGCUCUCACACACGACGGCUUCACCUACAAGUACGACAUUUCUCUUCCGGUGGAGCGGAUCUACCAGCUGGUGACGGACAUGCGGCAGCACCUGGGGGAGCGCGCCAAAAGCGUGGUGGGAUAUGGCCACGUAGGUGAUGGCAACCUUCACCUGAACAUCACCUCUCCUGCCAAGAACCCCGCUCUGCUGGCGGCCAUUGAGCCUUUCGUCUACGAAUGGACAGCCAAGUUCCAGGGCAGCAUUAGUGCAGAACAUGGACUGGGUCUGAAGAAAAGGAACUAUAUCUAUUACAGUAAGUCGAGCCAAGCUGUGGCACUGAUGGGGACCAUAAAGGCCAUUUUGGACCCGAACGGCAUCCUCAACCCAUACAAGACUUUACCAGAUAAUCUGAGGUGACCGUGCAGCAAUGUUACAGGAAAUAGUUAGAAACAGAAUCCGCUAGACAAAAGGCUCAAAAAACAUUGUUUGUGGUCAUUUUUGAAUUUUCAGGAGGUAAAAAUGACUUAAAUGUUGCAUUUUCAGGCUUUAAAAUAAGAAAAAUUACAAUUGUGCAACAUUUAAAUCCUUUUACAGCAAAUAAUGCUGUGAAAUGUUGCAAUAUUGUAGUUUCCUGAAAUUAUUUUUGAUUGACAUGUUUGUAAACCAGGAGCGAGUCUUCAUGAUUUAGUUUUCCAGAUCUGUGAUGUUCUGAAAAAUGAUAACAGGAAGUGGUCGACAGCAGUAAAAGUUGAAAUGUAGAGUAAAAUCUGUCUGUAGGCUAAUCAUUACACUGCAGUUAAUGUUUUAUUACAUAUAAAAAAACAUUUUUUUCCCCACCAAAACAAAGCAAAAGCACUUUUAGUGCUGAAACCAGUCUUCAAUAAAAGUUUCAACAUCAAGUUGUUUUGAUUUUCUCUUUAGGCAACUUAAAGAAUGUGGCAGAACUGGAAAGAUCCAGCAUGCUACAUGUUUGUUUUUAGCACAAACACGUCUGUCCCGAUUCCUUUCUGCACGUGUCGAACAUGCGUCGAACGUGUCGACGCACCGGAUAUGUUCAUACUUUCAAGUUCAGCUGCAGACAAGUUCAUACUUAAAGUGUGCUAUUUCUACACAAACCAGCUUUAAAAAUGUGCCUGUAGUGUUUUUUUUCCCUCCAAGUUUCUUUCCAGUAAAUAAAUUCCUACUUGAGUUCA